UACGUAGGGUCCGAGCGUUUGUCCGGAAUUAUUGGGCGUAAAGGGCUCGUAGGCGGUCUGUUGCGUCGGGGAGUGAAAACUUACAGCUUAACUGUGAGCGUGCUUCCGAUACGGGCAGACUUGAGGUAUUCAGGGGAGAACGGAAUUCCUGGUGUAGCGGUGAAAAUGCGCAGAUAUCAGGAGGAACACCGGUGGCGAAGGCGGCAUCCUGGACCGGUAUUGACGCUGAGGCGCGAAAGCCAGGGGAGCAAACGGGG
RNAcentral lists this ribosomal RNA (257 nucleotides) under uncultured bacterium. RNAcentral describes it as "partial 16S ribosomal RNA". It matches the Rfam family "Bacterial small subunit ribosomal RNA", at positions 524 to 777 of the family's 1533-position model. The record is from RNAcentral.